Molecule: ribosomal RNA, 253 nt
Filed under: uncultured bacterium
Lineage: Bacteria
Description: partial 16S ribosomal RNA
Rfam family: Bacterial small subunit ribosomal RNA
Source: RNAcentral
GACAGAGGAGGCAAGCGUUGUUCGGAAUCAUUGGGCUUAAAGCGCGCGUAGGCGGCCUUGUAAGUGUCUUGUGAAAUCCCACGGCUCACCCGUGGAACUGCAGGGCAAACUGCAAGACUUGAGGUCGGUAGAGGCGCCUGGAACUCUAGGUGGAGCGGUGAAAUGCGUAGAUAUCUAGGGGAACGCCGGAGGCGAAAGCGGGGCGCUGGGCCGAUUCUGACGCUGAUGAGCGAAAGCGUGGGGAUCAAACAUG